This 1007-nucleotide long non-coding RNA is filed under the name Mytilus galloprovincialis (Mediterranean mussel). The record is from RNAcentral. Lineage: Eukaryota; Metazoa; Mollusca; Bivalvia; Mytilida; Mytilidae.
CGUCAAACUACAAAGCUGUUGUGUAUUUUAUCAGAGUUAUAUUAUAAGAUAUCGUCCCCACAUUUAUGGUGCCGUGACUAAUGGAACUACAAAAGCUUAAAUCAAGAAGAACGGGCAAUCGUAGUGCCGUUACCAGACUUUUACGAAAAUUUGCCGACGCAAAAGAAAGUUCUGAAUUCGACAGAGAGGAGCUGUUAGCCACAUACGAAAAUCUACAACAGAAGAAAAGAAGUUACUCGACACACUGAAUGAACAAAUUGAGAACGCAUCGGAAACAGAGGAUAUAGAGACGGAAAUCGUAGACACAGAUGAGUAUACUACAAAUUUUGUUACUAAACUGAGACAUUUUAAGAUAUUCAUAGAUAAAACAUCACAACCUAUUUCCAAUCAACCAUCACAUUCGUCUUAUCAAGUUUUAAAUGUAGACAGUCCACCGUUCAUCCCUACUAGUUCACCCGAAAUUGCACAGACAAGUUAUGCCGCCCCGUCAUUGCCACAGUCAAAUGAUGCCGCUCGAAUUUUAACAGAGACAAGCCAAAUUGCCACAUCAAUUCCCACGUCAAGCUAUACUGUCCCGUCCGCUAUAUCCAGCAAUCACCGUUUGCCAAAAUUAACUUUACCUACAUUUAAUGGCAAUAUAUUAGAAUGGCCGAGCUUUUGGGAUUCUUACGAAUCGGCAGUUCAUUACAACCCAACAUUGACAGAUGUUCAAAAGUUUAAUUAUUUGAAGGCCCAAUUAGAAAACGAAGCCGCUCAGACAAUUGCCGGAUUUUCUCUAACUAACGCUAACUAUGCCGAAGCCGUAAAUGUUCUGAUAGAGAGAUUUGGACAGACUCAUAAAAUAACACAAGCACACCUACAAGCACUGCUUGAUAUUACGCCACCCCCCGGAAUGACCUCAUAAGCCUGAGAAUGUUUUAUGACAAAAUGGAGAGUUUAGUUAGAGGACUUGAAUCGCUUGGACAGACACAGGACUCAUACGGUAAUUUAUUAGUCCCGAUUAUAAU